CCUAGGGAGGCUGCAGUGAGGAAUAUUUGGCAAUGGGCGAGAGCCUGAACCAGCCAAGGUGCGUGAAGGAUGACGGGCCUACGGGUUUUAAACUCCCUUUGUCAGGGAGGAAAAGGGUCCACGCGGUGGCUUAGUGAGAGUACCCAAAGAAAAAGCAUCGGCUAACUCCGUGCCAGCAGCCGCGGUAAUACGGAGGAUGCGAGCGUUAUCCGGAUUUAUUGGGUUUAAAGGGUGCGCAGGCGGAAUAUCAAGUCAGCGGUAAAAAUGCGGGGCUCAACCCCGUAGUGCCGUUGAAACUGAUGUUCUUGAGUGCGCGAGAAGUAUGCGGAAUGCGUGGUGUAGCGGUGAAAUGCAUAGAUAUCACGCAGAACUCCGAUUGCGAAGGCAGCAUACCGGCGCCCAACUGACGCUGAAGCACGAAAGCGUGGGUAUCGAACAGGAUUAGAUACCCGUGUAGUC
RNAcentral lists this ribosomal RNA (459 nucleotides) under uncultured bacterium. RNAcentral's name for it is "partial 16S ribosomal RNA". It matches the Rfam family "Bacterial small subunit ribosomal RNA", at positions 338 to 795 of the family's 1533-position model. The record is from RNAcentral.